RNAcentral lists this ribosomal RNA (253 nucleotides) under uncultured bacterium. Its description in RNAcentral is "partial 16S ribosomal RNA". It matches the Rfam family "Bacterial small subunit ribosomal RNA", at positions 524 to 776 of the family's 1533-position model. The record is from RNAcentral.
GACGAACCGAGCGAACGUUGUUCGGAAUCACUGGGCUUAAAGGGCGCGUAGGCGGGUGCUCAAGUCCGGGGUGAAAUCCUCCAGCUCAACUGGAGAACUGCCUCGGAUACUGGGUGCCUCGAGGGUGGUAAGGGUAUGCGGAACUAUCGGUGGAGCGGUGAAAUGCGUUGAUAUCGAUAGGAACUCCGGUGGCGAAGGCGGCAUACUGGACCACUUCUGACGCUGAGGCGCGAAAGCCAGGGGAGCAAACGGG